GAUGAACGCUGGCGGCGUGCCUAAUACAUGCAAGUCGAGCGAACGGACGAGAAGCUUGCUUCUCUGAUGUUAGCGGCGGACGGGUGAGUAACACGUGGAUAACCUACCUAUAAGACUGGGAUAACUUCGGGAAACCGGAGCUAAUACCGGAUGAUAUUUUGAACCGCAUGGUUCAAAAGUGAAAGACGGUCUUGCUGUCACUUAUAGAUGGAUCCGCGCUGCAUUAGCUAGUUGGUAAGGUAACGGCUUACCAAGGCAACGAUGCAUAGCCGACCUGAGAGGGUGAUCGGCCACACUGGAACUGAGACACGGUCCAGACUCCUACGGGAGGCAGCAGUAGGGAAUCUUCCGCAAUGGGCGAAAGCCUGACGGAGCAGCGCCGCGUGAGUGAUGAAGGUCUUCGGAUCGUAAAACUCUGUUAUUAGGGAAGAACAUAUGUGUAAGUAACUGUGCACAUCUUGACGGUACCUAAUCAGAAAGCCACGGCUAACUACGU
RNAcentral lists this ribosomal RNA (496 nucleotides) under uncultured bacterium. Its description in RNAcentral is "partial 16S ribosomal RNA". It matches the Rfam family "Bacterial small subunit ribosomal RNA", at positions 28 to 506 of the family's 1533-position model. The record is from RNAcentral.